This 799-nucleotide long non-coding RNA is filed under the name Anser cygnoides (Swan goose). RNAcentral's name for it is "lncRNA (ENSACDG00005015658.1)". Lineage: Eukaryota; Metazoa; Chordata; Aves; Anseriformes; Anatidae. The record is from RNAcentral.
GGAAUUUCACACCAUCGUGUCAGUGAAUGCACUUCAUCAUCUGUCCAAGAAGAGGAGAGCAAGGCUGAGCAAGGUCAGGGAAUCAAACCCUGUAAGAAAAGUCCUUGCAACUCUGCAGAGACACGGAUGAAACUGGACCGAUAAGCGAGUCAGUUGGUCUGCACGCUCUCAUUUAAGAAGAGCCAGGAAGGGGUGGCUUCUCCAGGGUAGACAUAGAUACACGCAUGUCUGAAGACCAACAGAAGACCAGCUGGUGGGAUCGUAAAGACAACUUUCCUACAAAUGUUACAGACACAAUACCAGGAACACGGGAAGAUUGAUACUUGGCAAGAUGAUGGACUUCAAAAAUAACUUUGGAUUCUCUGACCUGCUUCACUAAUGCACACUGCAGUAAAACCAGGGUGGGUGAGAAGUGUGUCAGAUGAAUGUCUUGGAGACGUUUGAAGUCCAGCUGUUAGAUGUGCUUCCAAAAUUCACUGGAGGAGCCCUCCCCACGUCCAAACAGGGAUCCAAAGAGAAGAGCGACAGGCAAACUUCAAAUAUGGCACAUAAAGUUUUCAUAGCUGCAUUAGAGUGCAGAAGUCUUCCUGACUCAGAUUCCCACUCCUGCUACCUCUGGUUCUUCUGCUCAGAGCUCCCAGCCCCAGUCUCAGUGACAAGCUUCAAUCCACUGUGGCUACCUGGCUCAUGGCUCAGUCUGGACCACCAAACUCACGUGCAAAGGAGUUCUUACGAGAUGGAAAAGUGUGAGAGGGAGACUGAGCAAACAUCUAUGGGAAAGAGGGAUGUCAGCCAGUAG